RNAcentral lists this ribosomal RNA (233 nucleotides) under uncultured bacterium. RNAcentral's name for it is "partial 16S ribosomal RNA". It matches the Rfam family "Bacterial small subunit ribosomal RNA", at positions 100 to 334 of the family's 1533-position model. The record is from RNAcentral.
CGGGACGGGUGAGUAAUGUCUGGGAAACUGCCUGAUGGAGGGGGGUAACUACUGGAAACGGUAGCUAAUACCGCAUAACGUCGCAAGACCAAAGAGGGGGACCUUCGGGCCUCUUGCCAUCGGAUGUGCCCAGAUGGGAUUAGCUAGUAGGCGGGGUAACGGCUCACCUAGGCGACGAUCCCUAGCUGGUCUGAGAGGAUGACCAGCCACACUGGAACUGAGACACGGUCCAG